This 266-nucleotide ribosomal RNA is filed under the name uncultured archaeon. RNAcentral's name for it is "partial 16S ribosomal RNA". It matches the Rfam family "Archaeal small subunit ribosomal RNA", at positions 717 to 982 of the family's 1478-position model. The record is from RNAcentral.
ACACGACUACAUUAGAUACCCCCUGUAGUCCUAGCCGUAAACGAUACUCGCUAGGUGUCGGCCACGGUGCGACCGUUGUCGGUGCCGUAGGGAAGCCGUGAAGCGAGCCACCUGGGAAGCACGGCCGCAAGGCUGAAACUUAAAGGAAUUGGCGGGGGAGCACAACAACGGGUGGAGCUUGCGGUUUAAUUGGAUUCAACGCCGGAAAUCUUACCGGGACCGACAGCAACAUGAAGGCCAAGCUGAAGACUUUGCCGGAUUAGCUG